UCUCUUUUCUUUCACCAGCAGCAGGUAGUCCUCCUCGCACCCCUGCGUUGUAUGCCCCGCUGGUCGGGACAUAAACUGGCGCCCAAUGUGGGGCCCGAGGCACGGAACAGCGCUGUUGGCACCUACUCGGAAGACGCCCCGGCCGGGCACCCCCUGAGCCCAAGAGCUCGCUUGGAGCCCGUGAGCCAUCAGCCCACGGGAUAAGACUCCGCGUUGAUCGUCGCUGGAUUGGCCGCCCCAGCGGACAUCGGAACGGCAAUGAAGCUCUGCCUCUUUAUCCUCCUCAUAUGCUCCUCCUGUAUAUACGCCGGCUUCGGACCCCCGCCAAAUCCGCAAGAACUCAUAAGACUCCUCUAUGGGAACCCCUGUGACUGCGGUGGAGGGAGGAAUUUGCUUAGCUUUGUAGGAACGGUGCUGUUUCUAUGCCAACAAGUCUGGCAUCGUCGGGGACAAGAUCAAAAAAUUACAAGAAGAUCUCAUCAAACGAAGAAAAGAAUUAUUUGAAAACCCACUCUGGACCGGACUUAACGGACUUCUCCCCUACCUUCUCCCUACCUUGGGCCCCCUCCUUUGCCUCCUUCUGCUUAUAACCUUUGGACCCUGGGCAUUUCGCCAUUUUACAGAUCUCAUAAAAAGACAAAUUGAUGCUAUCCUUGCUAAACCUAUCCAAAUUCAUUACCAACGACUGGCAGUAAAAGAUGGUUUUGGUGAAGAUUACUACGGCUCCCUCCCUACGGGGACGACAUGCUAACCAGAGACAUGUCUACCCCCUCCCUUUACAGGAGAGGGGUAUGAGUACCGGGAUGAGUGCAAAACAAAGUA
This is a long non-coding RNA of Lemur catta (Ring-tailed lemur), 822 nucleotides long. RefSeq lists it as uncharacterized. NCBI's taxonomy places the organism in Eukaryota, Metazoa, Chordata, Mammalia, Primates, Lemuridae. The record is from RefSeq and is a predicted model, not a curated record. The transcript is spliced from 2 exons.